GAGUGGCGAACGGGUGAGUAAUAUAUCGGAACGUGCCCAGUCGUGGGGGAUAACGUAGAGAAAUUUACGCUAAUACCGCAUACGAUCUAAGGAUGAAAGCGGGGGCUUCGCAAGAACCUCGCGCGAUUGGAGCGGCUGAUAUCAGAUUAGGUUGUUGGUGAGGUAAAAGCUCACCAAGCCGACGAUCUGUAGCUGGUUUGAGAGAACGACCAGCCACACUGGGACUGAGACACGGCCCAGACUCCUACGGGAGGCAGCAGUGGGGAAUUUUGGACAAUGGGCGAAAGCCUGAUCCAGCAAUGUCGCGUGUGGGGAGAAGGCCUUCGGGUUGUAAACCACUUUUGUACGGAACGAAACGUCUCGCUUUAAUACAGUGGGGUAAUGACGGUACCGUAAGAAUAAGCACCGGCUAACUACGUGCCAGCAGCCGCGGUAAUACGUAGGGUGCGAGCGUUAAUCGGAAUUACUGGGCGUAAAGCGUGCGCAGGCG
RNAcentral lists this ribosomal RNA (490 nucleotides) under uncultured bacterium. RNAcentral describes it as "bacterial SSU rRNA". It matches the Rfam family "Bacterial small subunit ribosomal RNA", at positions 93 to 577 of the family's 1533-position model. The record is from RNAcentral.